UGCGGUAUCCUGACCGUCUAAGGUAGCGUGAUUAGUUGUCCUUUAAUUGGGGGCGUGACGAAUGGAUUAACGAGGGUUAAGCUGUCUCCCGGAGAGCUAUAGAAAUUGGGCUGCAGGUGAAAAUACCUGCAUUUUGACACAAGACAAGAAGACCCCGUAGAGCUCUGUUUAGUCUUAGUUAAAAAGGCCUCUGUUUAGAAGCAUACUUUUUAGCUGGGGAGAACUUAACUGGGAGGGUUGAGGAAAAUCUAAACUUCUUUUUUAUUAUUAGGCUUUUGCCGAUAUAGAUCUUUAUUGGCGUUUCGCCUUUAUUAAUAGAGUCAAAAGAUAAGCUACCUCGGGGGUAACAGGCUAAUUUUUCCUGAGAGCCCACAUUGACGGAAAAGUUUGGCACAUCGAUGUUGGCUUAGGAUAUCCUAUGGGUCAGUAGCCGCCUAUAAAGGUGGGUUUGUUCAACCCUUAAAAUCCUACAUGAUCUGAGUNNNNCCGGAGAG
Molecule: ribosomal RNA, 494 nt
Filed under: Amythas membranifera
Lineage: Eukaryota; Metazoa; Annelida; Polychaeta; Terebellida; Ampharetidae
Description: partial large subunit ribosomal RNA
Rfam family: Bacterial large subunit ribosomal RNA
Source: RNAcentral